UCAGUGGAAAGAUUAUGGACACCAUCAUGGAGGAUGUCGAUGUACCAGUUAUCACCCCCUUGAACAAAGACGAGGCCUAGAUAACAUGUUGUUAAUCCAGCGAUGGAGAAUAAACUUAAAUUUAUUUGUGCUAUA
RNAcentral lists this non-coding RNA (135 nucleotides) under Chaetoceros debilis. Lineage: Eukaryota; Bacillariophyta; Thalassiosirophyceae; Chaetocerotales; Chaetocerotaceae. The record is from RNAcentral.